RNAcentral lists this long non-coding RNA (1478 nucleotides) under Homo sapiens (human). Its description in RNAcentral is "HSALNT0317649". Lineage: Eukaryota; Metazoa; Chordata; Mammalia; Primates; Hominidae. The record is from RNAcentral.
ACCGAAACUCCAUCUCAAACAAAACGAAACGAAACGAAACAAAACAAAACAAAACAAAAACAGCUUGAGGACCAGAUAGGGCAUCAAAAGCGGAGAAAGCUGGGGAACUCUGUGUCCUCUGAAUCCAGUUCAGAUGGAAAGGAAGCCCCAGAGGGAGGACAGGUGGGGGCAGCUGGAAAGACAAGACCAGGCUCCCCUUCUUGGGUGUGGAGGGAGACAGUGGUCGGGACCCCCAGAGAGGGCAGAGCACCGGGCUGGCCGGUGGGGUGGGGUUCCCCGCAGGAGGCCUGUGCCGCCGGCUGUGUGGCCUGCGGAGGAGCCUGCCGAGCCUGCCGAGCCCCGCAUCCGGUGGGAAGUAGGAGUCUGGCACUUCCGGCUCGGGCUGCUGCAGCGGUUCCGGGCAUCUGCGCUAUUAGAAUUCUCCCGGCUCGCGGCGGCCGCAGGAAUCCAGUCACGUGGUAGACGUGGUGCCUGGGAGCCGGGGUCAGCGAGCGCUCAGUCUGAGAGAAAACGUGUUCCUUCCCCCUGAGACGUGUCCCGUGCCGGGCGAUGGCUCGCGGCAAACCUCCGCUCCCACAGGGAAGGAGCCCUGUGAGGCCUGGCCUGGGAGCUCUCGGGAGCGUGGGUGGAGAUAGAGAUGAAUCUACAAAAUGGAAAAAGUGUUGAACUUGGGAGUCAAGAGACCAGGAUUCUAGUUCUGAUGAUGCCCUUCACAUACCGAAUGCCCUGGGGAAGCCGCUUCCCUUCUCUCAGCCUUGGGUUCUCCAUGUGUCAAAUUAGGCUGUGGAAAAAGCCUCGGAUGGAAUUGCACUCAAGGACAUGUCUGCGUCAAAGCUUUUCUCCAAGUUCGUCUUCAGUUGCUAUUUCUGAAGCCACAUCACACCCUGAGAAACUCCUCCCUUUUCCUCUACCCUGCUUCUCCCCCCGUCUGUCUCCUUCUUGUCACUUUUAGUUGGUUUUGCACGGGAACUCUGAGGCCAUCCCAGCUGCCCUUGUCUGCCCGUGAGAAUCCCCUUCCACAGCGCCUCAAGAGCAGGAUGGAAGUUCCAAGAGUAUGAAUUCAUUUCAUGACAUGUACCUUUUGCAACAUACCCCGUGUCCACUGGAGCAAGAAGGGGAGGCUCUCACCUCUUUGCUUUCUGUUAUGUCUUCCAUCGUCCAUAGGGCAGUGACCCUCAUGGCUUGGCCACAAGAAAAGCAGGCAUCUUCUCUAAACUAUGGAAGAAAUCAUGAGGUGGGGCCCCCAGUCUUUUGGUAUGGGAGAUGCCAAACAAACAGGAAAUAAAGACACAAUUGCACUCCUUUACUAUCUCCCGAAUAGCUCCAUUAUGUUUUACAUUUAUGUAUGAUUCCUAGUCUUUCUCCAGAUGAGUAUUGUUGUCUAGGAAGACAUAAAUGUUAGGCAGAUAAUAUAUAUUUUUAAUUUCUACUCUAUGAAAGUCACUAUACUGGGGAAGGGGAAAACAAAUGAUAAGACA